RNAcentral lists this long non-coding RNA (19341 nucleotides) under Gossypium raimondii (Peruvian cotton). RNAcentral describes it as "long non-coding RNA (GRAI_LNC003341)". The record is from RNAcentral. Lineage: Eukaryota; Viridiplantae; Streptophyta; Magnoliopsida; Malvales; Malvaceae.
UCUGUUUACUAUAAGCGUCCCUCUGCCUCUGCCUCUAAAUAUCAAAUGCUCUCCCACUUCCUUAUCUUUAUCAUUCUUCACUUAGUAAUCUUGUUUUCCCUUUCAAUCUUUGCUCCCAAAAUCAAGCUUUUUCCGUUAUUUAUAUUGCUUGGGGAAGGAGAAAUGGAGGAGUCUAACAAUUAUGGCCACCAACAUCCCCUGCUUCUUAUCUUGAAUCAAGACCAGCUGAUCCACAAUCAAAGUGGUGUAACUCAUUGCUCCAGGUGCGGGGAGGAGGUGUCUGCUCCAUGUUUCUGCUGUGUGGAGCACUGUGGGUUUUAUCUUCACAAGGUACGUGCCAACGCACCUUUGAAGCUUAAUCAUCCUUUUCAUCCUCAUCAUCCUCUUGUUCUUCUGCAAGAACAACCAUAUUCUGACACAGGGUGUGUUUGCGAUUUUUGUGAUAAAACAUGUACGCAAUUCAUUUAUCAAUGCUCUUGCAAAUUGGACUUUCAUAUUAAAUGUGCUUUGUUAACAUUUAAUAUUGCUGAGAAUAAUUUGAAAGAGCUUGAGCAUGUUGCCCUUCAAGAUGAAGAACUUAAAGAUGAUAGUAAGUGCUUUGGGUGUUGGGAACCAUUAGCAAAGUAUACACACUUUUCUCCCGACUGUGGAUUUAAUUUACAUGACAAAUGCACCGAGCUUCCUUUCAAACUGAAUCUUGAGUGCCAUCGCGAACAUCCUCUUGUUCUACAAUUUAAUAGCCAACGGCUCUCUUGCAAGAUAUGCUGCCUGGUGAGAACGCGAAGAGGAUUUGUUUAUGGUUGUUCUCCUUGUAAGUUUGGUGUUCACAUUGAAUGUGCAUCGCAAUCACCAUUGCAAGUUAUUAAGAGUACAAAUCAUGAACAUCCAUUUACCUUGUUUAACGGGCACCAACAUCCCCUGUUUCUUAUGUUGAAUCAAGAGCAGCUGAUGGAUAAUCAAAGGGGUGUAACUGAUUGCUCGAGAUGUGGGGAGAAGGUGUCUGCUCCAUGUUUUUGCUGUGCGGAGCACUGUGGGUUUUAUCUUCAUAAGGUAUGUGCUGAGGCACCUUUGGAGCUUAAUCAACCUUUUCAUCUCAACCAUCCUCUUCUUAUGCAAAAUGCACCUUAUUCAUCUGGAAUGUACAUUUGCAAUUUUUGCAAUAAAUCUGGUCACAAGUCUGUUUAUCGCUGCUCUUCUUGUGAAUUGGACUUCCAUAUUAAAUGUGCUUUGUUUACAUUUAAUAUUGCUGAGAAUAAUUUGAAAGAGCUUGACCAUGUUGCCCUUCAAGAUGAAGAACUUGCAGAUGAUAGUAAGUGCUUUGGGUGUUGGGAACCAUUAAGUGCUUUGGGUGCCGGGAACCAUUAGCAAAUUAUACACACUUUUCUCCUUGCCGUGGAUUUAACUUACAUGAGAAAUUGUGUGCCANNNNNNNNNNNNNNNNNNNNNNNNNNNNNNNNNNNNNNNNNNNNNNNNNNNNNNNNNNNNNNNNNNNNNNNNNNNNNNNNNNNNNNNNNNNNNNNNNNNNNNNNNNNNNNNNNNNNNNNNNNNNNNNNNNNNNNNNNNNNNNNNNNNNNNNNNNNNNNNNNNNNNNNNNNNNNNNNNNNNNNNNNNNNNNNNNNNNNNNNNNNNNNNNNNNNNNNNNNNNNNNNNNNNNNNNNNNNNNNNNNNNNNNNNNNNNNNNNNNNNNNNNNNNNNNNNNNNNNNNNNNNNNNNNNNNNNNNNNNNNNNNNNNNNNNNNNNNNNNNNNNNNNNNNNNNNNNNNNNNNNNNNNNNNNNNNNNNNNNNNNNNNNNNNNNNNNNNNNNNNNNNNNNNNNNNNNNNNNNNNNNNNNNNNNNNNNNNNNNNNNNNNNNNNNNNNNNNNNNNNNNNNNNNNNNNNNNNNNNNNNNNNNNNNNNNNNNNNNNNNNNNNNNNNNNNNNNNNNNNNNNNNNNNNNNNNNNNNNNNNNNNNNNNNNNNNNNNNNNNNNNNNNNNNNNNNNNNNNNNNNNNNNNNNNNNNNNNNNNNNNNNNNNNNNNNNNNNNNNNNNNNNNNNNNNNNNNNNNNNNNNNNNNNNNNNNNNNNNNNNNNNNNNNNNNNNNNNNNNNNNNNNNNNNNNNNNNNNNNNNNNNNNNNNNNNNNNNNNNNNCUCCUUGCCGUGGAUUUAACUUACAUGAGAAAUGCACUGAGAUUCCUUUCAAAUUGAAGCAUGUGUGUCAUCGCAAGCAUCCUCUUGUCCUACAAUUUAAUAGCGAACGGCUCUCUUGCAAGAUAUGCUGCCAGGUAACAAUGCGAAGAGGAUUUGUUUAUGGAUGUUCUCCUUGUAAGUUUGUUGUUCACAUUGACUGUGCAUCACAAUCACCAUUACAAGUUAUUAAGAGUACAAAUCAUGAACAUCCAUUCACCUUGUUGGUGAGUCAAGUUCCAUUCACAUGUGAUGGGUGUGGCACUGGAGGAAAUCAUGUUGCCUAUAGAUGUGGUACAUGCAACAUUAUAAUCCAUAAAAAUUGCAUUUCAUUGCCUCGCAUUAUCAAAAGUAAGUGGCAUGACCAUCGCCUUCUUCACACAUAUUUCCAUUACAUAGAAGAUUUUAGGGUUUUGAAUUGCCUAAUAUGCCAUGAUGAAGUCAACACAGAGCAUGGUAGUUACUAUUGUUCAAAGUGCAACGGUAUAUUCCAUGUGAAGUGUGUAAUGAAGGAUAAAGAUUCAUAUGAAAUAGUAGAAAAUGAAGAUGAGAUUGAGAUGCCCAUUGAAAGUUCCAUCAUUGUUAUUGAGAGCAACGAUGCUGGAGAAGCUACAAAAAUAAAUCAUUUCAAGCAUAUGCAUAAUCUAAUGUUAGGUCCCUUUGUUGGAGGAUAUGAAAAUAGUUGCGACGGGUGUAUGUUGCCAAUCUCGGAUCCGUUUUACUACUGUUCAGAAUGUGCUUUUUUUCUUCAUAAAGCGUGUGCCGAGUUACCUAAGAUGAAGAAUGUUUGGCAUCAUGAUUGCAAAGAGCCCCUAGCCCUUAUUUCUGACAAAGCUUUUCUGUGUCGACGAUGUUUGUACGUAACUAAUGCCUUUGCUUAUGAAUGUUGUGGAUGUGAGGGAAAAAUAUGUCUCCGAUGUGUGAUUGCUCUUACUCCUGGUGCUCGAACAUGUUUGAAACAUGAACACCCCCUCUUUUACUACCCAAAGCACAAUGGGAAAUGCAAUGCUUGUGGUACGACUACACAGGCGGCAUUCUGUUGUAAGGAUUGCAAUAUUGUGCUACAUCUUCGUUGUUUUUCACUUCCAAUUACAGCGCGUCACAAAUGCGAUGAGCAUCUUCUUUCACUCACUGAUUAUGAUGAUAACAGUUAUUCAGAACAUCAUCACUGUGAUAUCUGUGAAGAAAGUCGAGAUCCAAACCGUUGGUUUUAUAAUUGUUCAACAUGUGAUACUUCUGCUCAUGUUAAUUGUGUUCUUGGACCAUAUCCAUUCCUCAAACUCGGGAGCAUUCAUGAAGGAAAUGAUCAUCCACACCCACUCACCAUUGUGAAGAAGAAGUAUUACUACCCAGAUUGUGAGAAAUGCGGUGAGCCUUGUGUAGAUGUGGCUCUUGAAUGCUCAAAGUCGGAGUGCAAAUAUAUUGUCCACUGGAAUUGUGUAACACCCGUUCAUCCAUGGAGUUUUUGGGCGUGGUACAGGAGGUAAUUCAGAUGUAAUCAUAUUUGAAAUCUGCCACUUCAUUUGCAGGAAAACUCAAGACUGGAAAACAGGGUUUGAUCUUUGCCUUGUUACUUGUGAUAUUAGUUAUUGUUGUAACUGUAAUUUGGUUUUCUCGACUUUUUAAGUUAUAAAUAAAUGUCAUGUAAAAAUCUGAGCUGAAACUUGUGAGGUUUGAUUGUUGAUUUUAGAAUUACUUGUGAGGUUUGCCGAAACGUUGCUAGAUGCUUCUCUUUGUUUUUAUAUAUAAGCUUUUUCUGAAAUUACUUAGCUCAAUGUAUUAGAUAAAGUAAGAAGGAGCUGUCUCCUUCAAAAAACCAAACAUGUCUUUUAAUGAUAUAUUUCGCAUACUAAAAUUUUAUUGCGCAAUUUAUGAAGCUUCAUCGUAACUUAACCCUAUUAUUGCCUAAGCAAAUAAUUUUGAAAACAAAAGAUUCAACAGCCUAAACUGAAAUUACUACAGUCCCAAAUAAAAUUGAAGGAUUAGCUUUUUUUUUUCCCCAUAAAAACUAUAUAUUAAGACAAAAAGGAAAAUGCAAAGUCGAGAAAGGUCAUCAUCCACACAAUUUCACAACAGCUCAAACCAGUAAUCAAUGGAAGGAGUGAUUAUGGCCCAAACACUGCAACAGCUUAACCAAGAAUGACAAUAAACAUGGAUACCAUCUGCCAGCUUCUACUUUGAGAUUCCAAUCCCCACACCUAAUGUUUUAGCUAUUUUCCCAUCUCUUUUUUACUCUCUUAUAUCACAACCUUGUAUCUAAUUUCCUUACUGUCUUGUCUGGGAUGGUGUUGGAGUUUUAGAGAAGUUGAGAGAACAAAAUACAGAGAAAACAAAGAACAAUACUUAUCAGAAUUUAUUUUUUUUUUGACUGCUAUCAAAUUUUCUCAUAUGCUUUUACUAGAGUUUUGAAAAUCUAGAAAUAGAUAAGAGAAUCGAGUUUUACUAGAUGUUGAGGCCUAUUUUCACAUUUUUGAUUCAGCUGCUCCUAUGCUACUUGAAAAAAUGUUUCGUUUGUCUCUCACGAUACAACAACAAGAUCAUCGAAGCAGUAGCACCUCUAUAGUGAUCAACGAACAAACCUUGACUUCUUCUAUCACUGAAACAUUUAAAAAUUUGGAGUGAAAAAGAAAGAAUGUUGAGAGUGAAAUAAAUUUGUUGUGUGUCUAAAGAAUUCUAAAUAUACAAAUCUGCAUUAAAGGAGUCUUUUGUCCUUUUAAAGGAGAUUUAUACGUCAAGCAAGUACGCACCCAACCCCAGUGAAUUUGGAUUCGCACCCUUGCUAUGCAUGAGGGAGAAUAUUAAUUUAGCGCUUUAAUAAUUACUAAAUUGGCUUACAUAUAUAUACAAGUUUCACACUUGAGUUCCAAUCAAUGUGAGACUAAUACUUUUCAUUUUCCUCAACAUAAUUUACAAAUAGUUUACAUUGAGCAUAAAUUUCGUAUCCAUCACUUAAACAUUUUGAGUAUAUAAUAUAUCGUUAUAAAGGUAUCAUGAAGUAGAAUAUAAAACCAUAAUUUUAUGAUUCAACUCUCCAUUUUUAUCAAUCGUUAAUAUGCCUCAAAGUUUUCAAAAAUUACAUUUUUUUCCAACACACUUCAGCGAAAGGAACCAGAGGACAGUCGAUACGAAGUUGUUACCCAAAUUAGAUGAACAGUAUGCCAACGGAUCGGAGAUUGCUGGAGAUGUUUUAUAUCGUAGGAUUCUACCGCAUGUGGCUGCAGUGCAAAGGAAUCAAUGGAGUUUUUGGGUAAUGGGGGUUACCAUGUUUAAACAUUUGACAGUCCUUUAAAAUAAGUCAAAUCCCUAUCCUAUUUGUAAAGGAUGUUAUGUUAAAAACAUUUUUCCAGGCUUCUUUAUUUACUGGCAUCAUCAUCACCUACCCCUAGGAGAUCAAUGUUGUUGCUUGUUUUCAGAUUGCAAAUCAAAGCUAACCUCUCAAACUUACAGAAUUCAAUGUUUUUUACAACAAAAAGAAAUUGGAUCAAAACUCUAUCCUUCCAUCCAAUUUCAAUACAAUUCGGUUUAUAUAAGUAAGCUUCAAUACAAGCUUAAUGUAACUUCACCAACUCCGAUUACAACUCGUUGAUUUUUAUCAACUAGUACUUGGAAACUGAAAUUGAAAAAGUAACAGCACUGUCCAUUAUUAUUGAAUCCAAACUAAUUAAUUCUGUCCAUUUUAUAAUGUAUGAUCUUCUCUGUUUGCACCGUCCAGUAACUUAAAUAAAAACUUUCGAAUAGUUCAAUGAACAUUUUAUAACUGUAGUUGAAUGAAUCCGUAACUUAUAGCGCCUGGAGUGUAUGGGCCGAAGAUUUCUGAACUUCGGCCCGUCAUCAAAAGACGCAUAUAAGGAUCACAUGGUAAGUAAAGAUUCUUCACGAGAAUGUCUUUGGAAUCUCCGGUGACCUUCAGUUUUAGAUUCUCGUCGACGAUGACCACCAUGUCUGAUUCUUUUGGAAACCCGGAAACAUAAUCCUUGAAUAUCACCUUUUUGUUGCUCACCACUGCAUUUCUCACUACCAUCCGCCAUUGUUGUUUUGCUUGGUGCUUUUGUUUUUUUCUCUAUGGUGAAGAUCACGUUCUGAAAUAAGCUGAACUUCUCUCUAUUAUCAGGUGGGUCUAAAAUUGGCCAAAUUGUGGUUUUGGUCCUUCUAUUAUUUUCAAUUUUGAAAAUUAAUCUAUGUAUUUUAAUUUGGUAUAAUUUAAUCUUCGUAAUCUUAUUAGUUAGUUAAAAUAGUUAACUAUAUACUAUUGGUCUCUGUACUUUCGUGCUGUUUGAACUUUGAAAUUUCAAUCCUAAUCAAAAUGGUAUUUACUAAAUUAUGAUAUUUUCUAAAGUUUAUAUGGCAAACAUAUUAUCAAAUGUGUAAUGUAAUGUAGUUUGUUAUUUGCACAAAAUAAAAAAAAAUCUUAUUAUUUUUAAUCGUUCUAGCAGAAUUUAACCUAACUAUUCUAAUUAAAAUGCAGAUUUGAUUUUUUCUUAAAAAUAUCCCUUGAAAAAAAUCAUGUUGAAGGAUGAAUUGGAAUAAAUAUUUUUUUAGAAAAAUCCUCACCAAUAUUUUAAUAAAAAUAUUACUAUUAGAUUAACUAGUGACAUUAUAAAUAUAGAUGACUAUAUUAUGAAAAAUUAAAAUAUGAAAAAUAAAUCUCAUAUUUGAUUAUAAGAUAGGGACUAAAAUCAGAAUUUUACCUUUUAAAUUUCCAUUUUAGUUUGAUUGCGUAUACCGUUUGUAUUGUGAGGCUGAAAACUUGAAAAGGAUAUUUAAAGUCCAAUCAAUUUCGACCGUACAAUCUUUUUUUUCAAGAAACUCGUUUAAAAUCAAUAUCCAAUGCGUACACGUAGCUAGAGGUGUCCGCUCGAAGCAUGAGAGGAUUCGGGUAAAAAUAUAGGACCGAAAUAUAGGUUUGGGUAAAAAAACGGAGUCCGUUUAGAAAAUGGGCCAGGCCUCGGGCACUACUUUUUUGGCCCGGGCAGAAUAUAAUAAAUAUAUAUUUUUAUUUUUUUAAUUUUAAAAUAUUUUUAAAAUAUUUUUAAAAUACUUUUUUUGUUUUUUAUUUUAAAAAUAAUUUUUUGGUGUUUUAUUAAAAAAAUAGGCCGGGCCGAGACCGGACUUAGGAAUUUUUACCCGGGCCAAGCCUGGACAAAAUUUCAGACCCAUAUUUCGGGCCAGGCCGGGCUGGGCUCGAGCCUAGGACACGGGCCAAAAUUUUGGCCCAGCCCAUGAGCACCUCCACACGUAACCAACCUAAUAUGAUAAUCGUUUGGGUAAAUUAUUAUCAUUUUUUGAUCAAUGGGAUAAUUACAAAUAAAUAAAUAUUAUAAAUAUUAUAAAUAAAUAUUAUAUAAAUAUUUAUAUUUAUGUAGAAAACAAUAGAUUUAAACAAAAUAAAUUAAAUAAAUAUUUAUAUCUAUUUAAAACAUUAAAUCUGGAAAAACAAUUAAGAGAAUCGAGUUUUACUAGAUCUUGAGGUCUGUUUUCACAGUUUCUUUAGGAUAAAUUCGGCCACUCAUAUGCUACUUGAAGAAACGUUGAUCGUAUGUCUCCUAAGAUACAACAACAAAAUGAUCGCGAUAGUAGUACCAAUGCAAUGAUCAAGAACAAACAUUGUCUUCUUCUAUUAUCGAAACGUUUGAAAAUUUGGAGGAAAAAAUUCGUUGUGUCUUUAAAAAAUUUUGCUGUAUUUUUAAGUUUUUAUAGGCAUUAAGUAUGGAGGAAUUUUAGAAAUUUCUAUAAAUAAAUAUAUAAAUUUGCAUUAAAGGAGCCUUUAGAUCAAUUUGAUUGGAAUCAAAUCAAAUCGAGAUAUUUAUCUUUAUAUAUAAUUGUUUCUAUUAUUGGUUAAAUUAUUUGACAGAGAAGAGCUUUUAGGAAUGAUUUUGAACCCAUUCUUAGUGCACAUUUAAAUUAAUAAUUUAGUUGUCAAAUAAAUUGGUGGUUCAUUUGUCAUUUAUGCUCUGUAAUUGUCUCUUCCGCCUUCGUUUCGAUUAUAAACAAAUAACCCUUUGAUCCUUCCUUAAAACGAAGUUUAAAGGAAUGUAAAAUACAAAGUAGGAGUGAAUGUGAUAUAUCUAUUUUUUUUUUUAUGUUGUUUCACCAGAAAAUGAAGAUGAAAAGUGUCUUGAUAUAUCUUUGAACUCCAUCACUAAUGUUCUAGAGAGGAAUGAUGCAGGAGAAGCCACAAUAAUAGAGCACUUCAAGCAUAUGGUGAUAAAUGUUGUGAUGGGUGCAUGUUGCUAAUCUCGGCUUCAUUCUACUAUUGCUUUCAGUGUCAAUUCUUUCUUCAUAAAGCUUGUGCUGAACUACCAAAGAUGAAGCCUGUUUGGCAUCAUGGAUGCCAAAUUAGAAACUUCAGACAACAUUUUCAAAUGUGAAAUUUGUUGUUUCCUUUCUAAUGGCUUUGCCUACAAAUGUCCCGAUGCUCUAACAUGUCCAGGACAUGAACAUCCCCUUCUUUUCUAUUAUGAUUUUUACGGGCAGUGUUGUGCUUGUGGUGAGGAUAUAAAAGUGGCAUUCAACUGCAAGGAUUGCAAUUAUUCUGUAGAUCCUUACUGUAUGCUACUACUACCUAGAGCCAGACACAAAUGUUAUGAGCAUCUUCUUGCACUCAGUUAUCACGAGAUAAAUGAUUAUUCAGAACAUCAUUACUGUAACAUUUGUGAGCGAAAAAGAGAUCCGAAGAGCUGGUUUUAUCAUUGCACAACUUGUGACACAGCAUCAAAGAAGGGGAUCAUCCGCACCCUCUCACAUUUGUGAAGAAGAUAAAUUACUACCCUGAAUGCACUAAAUGUGGAGAACCCUGUGAAGAGCUCGCUCUUGAAUGUGCGGAACAAGAGUGCAACUAUCUCGUUCACUGGAAAUGUGUGAAACCAUAUGGCUCUGUAUAUGCAUGCUUGAUAGGUAGAGACUUUUAAUUAACAUUUUAGUCGUAAGUUGAAAUAAUGUAAUUUAGCCAAUUGAUUGGGUUGAAACUUGUGUGGUUUGAAUUGCUUAUGGUUGUGUAGUUACUUUAAAUUUUUUAAAUUUUAAAUUAAUAAAAGUGGAAUUAUACUUUGGUUCCCUAAUAAUAAUAAAAAUUUGAUUUAAUCAUUUAAAAGCCAUAAUGAUAUAGACUAUUCAAAUAGUGAAAUUACAUUUUUACUAUCGUAAAAAAUUAAAUUUAAUUUCUGAUCCUCUAAAAGGAAAUUCUGCCUUUGCCCCUGGUCCUUGGUGAACACUUCCAUUCCUCAAACUCGGGAGUCUCAUUGAAGCACAUUACAUUCAUGAGCACCCUAUCAUUGUUGUUAAGAAAAUUUAUUACUAUCCAAAUUGUAGUAAAUGUGGUAAGCCCUAUUUGGAUUUGGCUGUCGAAUGUACUAGAUGCAACUUCAUUGUCCAUGAUAACAAGUUCUCUUCUUCAGAUUGGGAGGACUAAGGUGGCGCUGUGGUGACUAUACUCCAGAAUCACCACUUUUCUUUGCCGGAGAACACAGAGUAAUGCUGAUUGUAUUUAUUAUCCAAACUAGGUUUCCUAUUUGAAGUUGAAAUGUAAGGGAAGCAUGUUUUAAGUUGGAAAAGAAAUUCAAAUCUCAGAAUCGGCAAACAUGAAAAUGUUAUUUACAAAUAUUGGGCCGUGGGUUCUGGGAGCCCACUUGUUUAUGUGUGCCCUGCUCUUUAUGUUUUAGGGGCAGCAAACUAUCAGCGACCCUCUGCCUCUGCCUCUUCCUGAGUCAUUAUCUGUCUUCACUUGUAUUAUUGUUUUCCCAUUGACACUUUGCUCCCAAAAUCAAGCUUUUUCCUUUAUUUAUAUUGCUUGGGGAAGCAAAAAUGGUGGGGUCUAACAAUUAUGGCCACCAACAUCCCCUGCUUCUUAUCUUGAAUGAAGAUCAGCAGCUGAAUGUAGCUAAGUGCUCAAGGUGUCGCGAGAAGGUGUCAACUCCAUGUUUUAGCUGUGCCCAGGAUUGUGGGUUUUACCUUCACAAGGUAUGUGCUGAGGCGCCUUUGGAGCUUAAUCACCCUUUUCAUUCUGAUCAUCCUCUUCUUCUUAUGCAAAAUGCACCUUAUCCUGGAGGGUACAUGUGCAAUUUUUGCAGUAAAUUGGGUAAUGAAUUUGUUUAUCACUGCUCUUGCGAAUUGGACUUUCAUAUUAAAUGUGCUUUGUUUACAUUUAAUAUUGCUGAGAAUAAUUUGAAAGAGCUUGAGCAUGUUGCCCUUCAAGAUGAAGAACUUGAAGAUGAUAGUAAGUGCUUUGGGUGUUGGGAACCAUUAGCAAAGUAUACACACUUUUCUCCUGACUGUGGAUUUAAUUUACAUGACAAAUGCGCUGAGCUUCCCUUCAAACUGAAUCUUGAGUGCCAUCGCGAACAUCCUCUUGUUCUACAAUUUAAUAGCCAACGGCUCUCUUGCAAGAUAUGCAGAAAAAGCAAUCAACAAGCUCUAGGAUUUUUUUAUGGUUGUUCUCCUUGUGAGUUUGUUGUUCACAUUGAAUGUGCAUCACAAUCACCAUUACAAGUUAUUAAGAGUACAAGUCAUGAACAUCCAUUUACCUUGUUUAACGGGCACCAACAUCCCCUGUUUCUUAUGUUGAAUCAAGAGCAGCUGAUGGAUAAUCAAAGGGGUGUAACUGAUUGCUCGAGAUGUGGGGAGAAGGCGUCUGCUCCAUGUUUUUGCUGUGCGGAGCACUGUGGGUUUUAUCUUCAUAAGGUAUGUGCCGAGGCACCUUUGGAGCUUAAUCAUCCUUUUCAUCUCAACCAUCCUCUUCUUAUGCAAAAUGCACCGUAUUCAUCUGGAAUGUACAUUUGCAAUUUUUGCAAUAAAUCUGGUCACAAGUCUGUUUAUCGCUGCUCUUCUUGUGAAUUGGACUUUCAUAUUAAAUGUGCUUUGUUUACAUUUAAUAUUGCUGAGAAUAAUUUGAAAGAGCUUGAGCAUGUUGCCCUUCAACAUCCAUUGAUUCCCACUGAAAAUGGUGGUGAAAAACUUAAAGAUGUUUCUAAGUGCUUUGGGUGCCGGGAACCAUUAGCAAAUUAUACACACUUUUCUCCUUGCCGUGGGUUUAACUUACAUGAGAAAUGCACUGAGAUUCCUUUCAAAUUGAAGCAUGUGUGUCAUCGUAAGCAUCCUCUUGUCCUACAAUUUAAUAGCGAACGGCUCUCUUGCAAGAUAUGCUGCCAGGUAACAAGGCGAAGAGGAUUUGUUUAUGGAUGUUCUCCUUGUAAGUUUGUUGUUCACAUUGAAUGUGCAUCACAAUCACCAUUACAAGUUAUUAAGAGUACAAAUCAUGAACAUCCAUUCACCUUGUCGUUGAGACAAGUUCCAUUCACAUGUGAUGGGUGUGGCACUGAAGGAAAUCAUGUUGCCUAUACAUGUGGUACAUGCAACAUUACAAUCCAUAAAAAUUGCAUUUCAUUGCCUCGCAUUAUCAAAAGUAAGUGGCAUGACCAUCGCCUUGUUCACACAUAUUUCCAUCACAUAGAAGAUUUUAGGGUUUUGAAUUGCCUAAUAUGCCAUGAUGAAGUCAAUACAGAGCAUGGUAGUUACUAUUGUUCAAAGUGCAACGGUAUAUUCCAUGUGAAGUGUGUAAUGAAGGAUAAAGAUUCAUAUGAAAUAGUAGAAAAUGAAGAUGAGAUUGAGAUGCCCAUUGAAAGUUCCAUCAUUGUUAUUGAGAGCAACGAUGCUGGAGAAGCUACAAAAAUAAAUCAUUUCAAGCAUAUGCAUAAUCUAAUGUUAGGUCCCUUUGUUGGAGGAUAUGAAAAUAGUUGCGACGGGUGUAUGUUGCCAAUCUCGGAUCCGUUUUACUACUGUUCAGAAUGUGCUUUUUUUCUUCAUAAAGCGUGUGCCGAGUUACCUAAGAUGAAGAAUGUUUGGUAUCAUGAUUGCAAAGAGCCUCUAGCCCUUAUUUCUGACAAAGCUUUUUAUUGUCGACGAUGUUGGGGCAUAUCUAAUGCCUUUGGUUAUGAAUGUUGUGGAUGUGAGGAAAAAAUAUGUCUCCGAUGUGUGAUUGCUCUUACUCCUGGUGCUCGAACUUGUUUGAAACAUGAACACCCCAUCUUUUACUACACAAAGCACAAUGGGAAAUGCAAUGCUUGUGGUAGGACUACACAGUCGGCAUUCUGUUGUAAGGAUUGCAAUUUUGUGCUACAUCUUCGUUGUUUUUCACUUCCAAUUAUAGCUCGUCACAAAUGCGAUGAGCAUCUUCUUUCACUCACUGAUCAUGAUGAUAACUGUUAUUCAGAAAAUCAUUAUUGUGAUAUCUGUGAAGAAAGUCGAGAUCCAAAUCAUUGGUUUUAUAAUUGUUCAACAUGUGAUACUUCUGCUCAUGUUAAUUGUGUUCUUGGACCAUAUCCAUUCCUCAAACUCGGGAGCAUUCAUGAAGGAAAUGAUCAUCCACACCCACUCACCAUUGUGAAGAAGAAGUAUUACUACCCAGAUUGUGAUAAAUGUGGUAGGGCUUGUGUAGAUGUGGCUCUUGAAUGCUCAAAGUCGGAGUGCAAAUAUAUUGUCCACUGGGAUUGUGUGGUACCCUAUAGUCUACGGAGUUUUUGGGGGCUGUUCGAGUAGUAAUUCAGAUGUAAUCAUAUUUGAAAUCUGCCACUUCAUUUGCAGGAAAACUCAAGAAUGGAAAACAGGGUUUGAUCUUUGUCAUGUUACUUGUGAUAGUAGUUAUUGUUGUAACUGUAAUUUGGUUUUUUCGACUUUUUAAGUUAUAAAUAAAUGUCAUGUAAAAAUCUGAGCUGAAACUUGUGAGGUUUGAUUGUUGAUUUUAGAAUUUCUUAUAAUUUGGGAGUGUGAUUGUGCGUCUGUAACAGAUAAACUGAAAUUACUACAGUUCCAAAUAAAAUUGAAGGAUUAGUGUAUUCUUUUUUCCAUAAAAAAUAUAUAUUAAGACAAAAAAGAAAAUGCAAAGCCGAGAAAGGUCAUCAUCCACACAAUUUCACAACAGCUCAAACCAGUAAUCAAUGGAAGGAGUGAUUAUGGCCCAAACACUGCAAUAGCUUAACCAAGAAUGACAAUAAACAUGGAUCCCAUCUGCCCGCUUCGACUUUGGGAUUCAACAUGUGAUACUUCUGCUCAUGUUUGUUGUGUUCUUGGAAAUUAUUUAUUCCUCAAACUCAAGAGCCUUUAUGAAGAAAAUGAUCAUCCACACCCACUCACCAUUGUGAAGAAGAAGUAUUACUACUCAGAUUGUGAUAAAUGCGGUGAGCCUUGUGUAGAUGUGGCUCUUGAAUGCUCAAAGUCGGAGUGCAAAUAUAUUGUCCACUGGUAUUGUGUAACACCUGUUCAUCUACGGAGUUAUUGGGCGUGGUACAAGUGGUAAUUCAGAUGUAAUCAUAUUUGAAAUCUGCCACUUCAUUUGCAGGAAAACUCAAGGCUGGAAAACAGGGCUACUUGUGAUAUUAGUUAUUGUUGCAACUGUAAUUUGGUUUUUCUGACUUUUUAAGUUUUAAAUAAAUGUCAUGUAAAAAUCUGGAGCUGAAAGUUGUGAGGUUUGACUAUUGAUUGUACUUUUUAAGUUUUAGAAUUUCUUGGUUUCCUUAUAUAAGCUUUUUCUGAAAUUAUUUCUCUGUUGCUGCAAUAAAAUUAGGUUUAACGUUUAGCUCAAUGUAUUAGAUAAAGUAAGAAGGACCUGUCGCCUUCAAAAAACCAAACAUGUCUUUUAAUGAUAUAUUUCGCAUAUUAAAAUAUUAUUGCAGAAAUUGAUUAAAAAACUGAUUAAACAAACUUUGGGAUUCCAUUCCCCACACCUAAUGUUUUAGCUAUUUUUCCAUCUCUUUUUCACUCUCUUAUAUCACAACCUCGUAUCUAAUUUCCUUGCUUGUCUUGUCUUGUCUGGGAUGGGGUUGGAGUUUAGAGAAGUUGAGAGAACAAAAUACAGAGAAAACAAAGAAAAAUACUCAGCAGAAAUUUUUUGACUGCUAUCAAAUUUUCAUUCAACAAGAAAUACAAUAUAUAUACACGGGUGUAGUGGUUACAAGAAAGUCAACAAACCUCACUAAUACACUUUGAAAAUACAAAUACAUAGCUUGUACAUAAACAUCAAAUCAUCACUAAUUCUGCUUAUCUAACAAGUGACCUUAGCAAGCAGACUAAUACAAAAAUCAUCAGCAGCAUAUGCGAACCUUUCUUCAAAUACAUCAAGUGGUUCGCCAACAACACAUAAGCCCACACUCUGAUGAGCUCGCUACUAGACUGAGCUUGCAGCUUUGGUGGAGCUUGCAGCUUUGGUGAGCUCACAAUUUCAUAGGAAGAGUUCGCCACUACAGAAAUGACCACUUCGCAACACUCCUCCUUGGCCAUAAUGCUGUGAACUCCAAUAUCUUAUCUUAGCCUCUAUAACCUCAUUCUUCCAAGAGGUUUUGUGAGAAUAUUAGCAAGUUGGACAUAUGAACUACAAUGAACCAGUUUCACCUCAUUCGAUUGCUCAACUUCUCUAGAAAGUCCUAGGUCUUAGGUAACAUUACUUGUAGGUCGUAGGACUUUUAUAGUAAGUGCAUUGGGCUCAUCGAGUUCCCAACAAAAACCAAGACAGCAAAGAAAUCUAACAGGCCUGGUCACAGAUGAGCUAUAGUGAUAAUUGAUUUAAUGUUGAUCCUACUAAUAUGAAUCCAUAUCCGACUAACCUAGUUUGACCAUAAAAAUUAACAAUUUAAAUCAGAAAUAACAAUAACACAAAAAGAUUUAAACCAGUCCGAAUCCCAAACCCAAGAUUCUUCAAAUUCUCAAAAUUAAAAUAUUCGAAUUAUUUUGAUUCGGGUUAGUUUCACGUUCAAAUCAAUUUUAAUUUCAGAUCAUUUCAAAAUUGAUCAUUUUAGACUAAUAUUGAAUGGUGUUGGGUUAUUUUUUUAGUCAAAUCGGGUUUUGAAAUUUUUGAAUCAUUUUGGUUCGGGUUAGUUUCAAGUUCAAAUCAUUUUAGGUUCAAGUCAUUGGUCUCGGAUAAUUCCGGGCUCAUAUUGAACGAUGUUGGAUAACUUUUUAGUCAAAUCGAGAUUAAAAUUUCUAAAUCAUUUUGGUUCAGGUUAGGUUCAAGUUAGUUUCAGGUUCAAAUCAAUUUCGGAUUUGAUCAUUUUGGGCUCAUAUUGAAUGGUGUUGGAUUAUCUUUUUUUGUCAAAUCAGGUUUUAAAUUUUCCAGAUCAUUUUGAUUCCAGUUAGUUUCAAGUUUAAAUCAAUUUUGAUUUCAGAUUUGAUCAUUUCAAGUUCAUAUAGAAUGGUGUUGGAUUAUUUUUUAAUCAAAUCGGGUUUUAAGAUUUUCAGAUCAUUUUCGUUCGAGUUAAUUCCCGGUUCAAAUCAAAUUCGAUUUCAGUUCAUUUUGAGCUCAUAUUUAACCGUGUUGGAUUAAUUUUUUUAAUCAAAUCAAACCAUAUAUAAUUUGUAUUCAAUUUGAUAAAAUCGAAUUUUUAAAUUCAAAUCAAAUUUAACCUAUCACACCAAUCACAAUUUUUUUAAAAAUAAAUAACUGAACCGAAUUGAAAUCAACCCCAAAUAUCUCUCCUAUAAAUUACUAGCCACUUUGUAAAUCUAGAUCUCUCUCCAUAGUAUUCAUUACCAAGGAAAAUGGCGACGGGUGGCAUGGAUGAAGCAAGCAACAUGAAGGUGGUACUGAAACACUAUGUAUCUGGUUCACCACAAGAAACCGAUAUGCAUUUGACAGCCGGAACCAUCAAACUCAAAGUACCAAAGGAUUCUAAUUCCAUCAUCCUCAAGAAUCUUUAUCUCUCAUGCGAUCCCUACAUGAUCUUCAAAAUGAUGAAGCUCGAACGACAAUUAACAGAUCCUUACGUCCUCGGUUCGGUAAUUUUAUUCACUUCCUUUCAUCUUCAUCAUCGUUAUCGUAAUCAAGUUUUAUUGUGUUUUGAUAUGCUUUUUUGUUUACCGUAUUGAAAAAAUCAAAAAUUUGAUAUUUGAAUUUCAACAUCCGUUAAAAUGAACCAUUGGAUGAUCUUAAAAAAGUGAAAUGUGAUUUGAUUUUUGUUUGAAUUUAGCCUACAAAUUCUCAACUACAUUAUCAAAGAUCCGAGAUUGUUUCAGUAAGUGUAGAAACUAAUUAAGCCUCAUAAAUUUCUAUCACCUUUUCAUUAUUAGCGAUGGAUAUUUAUAACAUUGCGUCGAGUAUCGAUUAUUUGGAAUAUAGAAAAUAAAUGCUGGAAGAGCUUUCAGAAUAAUUUAGAGUCCAAUGAGGGGGCACGCAGGGGCUCUCCCAUCCCUAAAAUAAGAAAUUGUUGCUUUAGACUCCUCAAAUUUAUAAAAUCGUAAGUUAAUAUAUAGUUUGGCCCUCCAAAAAUGCUAGAAUUUUGGUUUAUUUCUAUGUGAAACUUCAUUUUAACUCUUAUAAAUAUAUUUAACUUAACUUCGGCCUCUUAAAGCAGACACUAAUUAAAUUACUUUUAGACUCCUUGGAAAUUUAUAAAAUUAUAAAUUAAUAUAGUGAUAAUUUUAUCUUUUAACAGCAACGUGACUAGCACAACUCGAACCGAAGACACACCUGGGACGAUGAACACUUUAUCCAUCAGGCCAACACACAAUAUUCUUUUUACACUAGGUUCUUUAAUUUCAUUGCAAUAAGUGAACCAAAUAAUAACACUUCAUCAAAUUUUUUUAAAAUUAAAUUUAUUUAACUUCAUUUUUAAUGAUAUGUAAUCAUCGAUAGCGCCGGUAUGCAUAUUAUUAGUAAUUUGGAUACACAGACUAAUUUUAGCUCGAAUUUGCAGCCUAUAACUGGAUAUGGAGUGGCAAAAGUUUUGGAUUCAGCACAUCCUGGCUUUGCAAAGGAUGAUUUGGUGUGGGGAAUAACUGGUUGGGAAGAGUAUAGUCUAAUUUCAGACCCUAAAAAUUUCUUUAAAAUCCAACACACCGAUGUACCUCUUUCCUACUAUGCUGGAAUUCUUGGUAACUAUCAAUUCUCUUCUAUCUUAGGUUAAGGUUGUUCGGGAUUGAAUUGUUCUCUUCUAUCUAUAUACGUGUUAUAAUGUCAUUAGUUAGUCAAAAUACUUAAAAUCAUUAAUUGUUCAUGUUAAAUCGUUGAUAUUGAUUUUUCCUUAACAAUAAUCCUUCCAACAAAUAAAAGGUUCACGAUAGUAUGAUGAGUUGGAGGGGGUGUUUUUAAGAAGAGAAAAAGCCAUGUCAGCAACAUUUUAAUCAGAAUAGAUAAGUAUUUGACCUAAUCAAUGACACCAAAAAAUAGAAAUGCUAAACUGUGUUAAAUUAAAGUAUGAGGGUUAAAUUUACAAUUUGAGCAUAGUAGAAGGAUCAAAACCAUAAUUUGACCCAAAUCAUGGAAUGAAAUGGUUAAAUUCUACUAUUAGUCCCUAUACUUUGUUAAAGUUAUGAAUUUACUCCUUAUAUACUUUUAUUUGAUCAAUUUUAGUUCCAAUGCUUUUCAAAUUUGAAACUUUAGUCUUGACCCAAACAAUAGUAGUUAAAUUCGUUUAGUUAAAUUCAAUUACUAGUUCUAUACUAUAUGUGUGCAGUUGUAGAUUUAGUUCAUUUUUUCUAAUUGGAUCAUUCCAAGUCUAUAUAUUUUUCGAAUUUGAAAUUUCAAUCUUGACACAAAUGACAAUCAUUAAUCUAUUAACUAGAUUUUUAGUGAGUAAUAUUUGAAAAUAAUAAGCUGAUAUAGCAUUACACAUAUGAUAAUAAGUUUGGUACAUCAGAUUUUAAAAAUAGCAGAACUUAAUAAAAAAAUGUAACCAAAGGAAAUCUAAGAACAUAUAAGAACAAAUGCAUAAAAUAGGGAAUUGAUAUAUAAUAAAAUAUGUUACUUAGACUCCAUGUGAGUGUUGAAUACGGUUAUGUAAUAUCGAUAAUAAAUGUAAGACGGUUAAUAGGUAUGCCUGGGAUAACAGCAUAUAUUGGUUUCUAUGAGCUUUGUGCUCCAAAGAAAGGAGACUAUGUGUUUGUUUCAGCAGCAUGUGGUGCAGUUGGUCAGCUAGUGGGGCAAUUUGCCAAGCUCCAUGGUUGCCAUGUUGUUGGAAGUGCUGGUAGCCCAGAGAAGGUAGGCCCUUUGCAUGCUAUUCCUAUUCUUUUUAGGGCUAAUAUACUAUUUGAAUAAAAGCAUUGACUAGCUAAUUGAGUUUACCUCUGUUUAGGGUUUAGAGGAAGGAGAAAUGGAGGAGUCCAACAAUUAUGGCCACCAACAUCCCCUGCUUCUUAUCUUGAAUCAAGACCAGCUGAUCCACAAUCAAAGUGGUGUAACUCAUUGCUCCAGGUGCGGGGAGGAGGUGUCUGCUCCAUGUUUUUGCUGUGUGGAGCACUGUGGGUUUUAUCUUCACAAGGCAUGUGCCGACGCACCUUUGGAGCUUAAUCAUCCUUUUCAUCCCCAUCAUCCUCUUGUUCUUCUGCAAGAGCCACCAUCUUCUUACUCAGGGUGUGUUUGCGAUUUCUGUGAUGAACCAUGUACGAAUUUCAUUUAUCACUGCUCUUGCGCAUUGGACUUUCAUAUUAAAUGUGCUUUGUUAAUAUUUAAUAUUGCUGAGAAUAAUUUGAAAGAGCUUGAGCAUGUUGCCCUUCAAGAUGAAGAACUUGCAGAUGAAAAUAAGUGCUUUGGGUGUUGGGAACCAUUAGCAAAGUAUACACACUUUUCUCCCGACUGUGGAUUUAAUUUACAUGACAAAUGCGCCGAGCUUCCUUUCAAACUGAAUCUUGAGUGCCAUCGCGAACAUCCUCUUGUUCUACAAUUUAAUAGCGAAAGGCUCUCUUGCAAGAUAUGCUGCCUGGUGAGAACGCGAAGAGGAUUUGUUUAUGGUUGUUCUCCUUGUGAGUUUGUUGUUCACAUUGAAUGUGUAUCGCAAUCACCAUUACAAGUUAUUAAGAGUACAAAUCAUGAACAUCCAUUUACCUUGUUUAACGGGCACCAACAUCCCCUGUUUCUUAUGUUGAAUCAAGAGCAGCUGAUGGAUAAUCAAAGGGGUGUAACUGAUUGCUGGAGGUGUGGGGAGAAGGUGUCUGCUCCAUGUUUUUGCUGUGCGGAGCACUGUGGGUUUUAGCUUCAUAAGGUAUGUGCCGAGGCACCUUUGGAGCUUAAUCACCCUUUUCAUCUCAACCAUCCUCUUCUUAUGCAAAAUGCACCUUAUUCAUCCGGAAUGUACAUUUGCAAUUUUUGCAAUAAAUCUGGUCACAAGUCUGUUUAUCGCUGCUCUUCUUGUGAAUUGGACUUUCAUAUUAAAUGUGCUUUGUUUACAUUUAAUAUUGCUGAGAAUAAUUUGAAAGAGCUUGA